RNAcentral lists this ribosomal RNA (504 nucleotides) under uncultured bacterium. RNAcentral describes it as "partial 16S ribosomal RNA". It matches the Rfam family "Bacterial small subunit ribosomal RNA", at positions 28 to 523 of the family's 1533-position model. The record is from RNAcentral.
GAUGAACGCUAGCUACAGGCUUAACACAUGCAAGUCGAGGGGCAGCAUGACGGAAGCUUGCUUCCGUUGAUGGCGACCGGCGCACGGGUGAGUAACGCGUAUCCAACCUGCCCUUGUCCAUCGGAUAACCCGUCGAAAGGCGGACUAACACGAUAUGCAGUUCUCAGCAGGCAUCUAACGAGAACGAAAUGUGAAGGAGAAGGAUGGGGAUGCGUCUGAUUAGCUUGUUGGCGGGGUAACGGCCCACAAAGGCGACGAUAAGUAGGGGUUCUGAAAGGAAGGUCCCCCACGUUGGAACGGAGACACGGUCCAAACUCCUACGGGAGGCAGCAGUGAGGAAUAUUGGUCAAUGGGCGAGAGCCUGAACCAGCCAAGUAGCGUGCAGGAUGACGGCCCUAUGGGUUGUAAACUGCUUUUAUACGGGGAUAAAGUGGGCCACGUGUGGCUUAUUGCAGGUACCGUAUGAAUAAGGACCGGCUAAUUCCGUGCCAGCCGCCGCGGUAA